Molecule: ribosomal RNA, 1407 nt
Filed under: metagenome
Description: bacterial SSU rRNA
Rfam family: Bacterial small subunit ribosomal RNA
Source: RNAcentral
GGAGAGAAAUCUUGGAGGAGAGUGGCGAAAGGGUGAGUAACGCGUGGGUAAUUUACCUCUGAGUUGGGGAUAACGUUUCGAAAGGAACGCUAAUACCGGAUGUGGUCGUCUCGCAUAAGCGGGAAUGAUCAAAGGUGGGGAUCCUUCGGGACCUGUCGCUCGGAGAGGAGCCCGCGUGCCAUCAGCUUGCUGGUAGGGUAACGGCCUACCAAGGCUUACGGCUAGCUGGUCUGAGAGGAUGAUCAGCCACACUGGGACUGAGACACUGCCCAGACUCCUACGGGAGGCUGCAGUCGAGGAUCAUUCGCAAUGCGCGAAAGCGUGACGAUGCGACGCUGCGUGGAGGAUGAAGGCCCUAGGGUUGUAAACUCCUGUCAUUCGGGAAAAACGAGCACAUGGUGAAUAGUCAUGUGCAGUGAUGGUACCGGAAGAGGAAGCCACGGCUAACUCUGUGCCAGCAGCCGCGGUAAUACAGAGGUGGCGAGCGUUGUUCGGAUUUACUGGGCGUAAAGGGUGCGUAGGUGGUUGCGUGUGUCGGAUGUGAAAGCCCACGGCUCAACCGUGGAAUGGCAUUCGAAACUGCGUAACUUGAGUACAGGAGGGGAGAGCGGAAUUCUUGGUGUAGCGGUGAAAUGCGUUGAUAUCAAGAAGAACACCGGUGGCGAAGGCGGCUCUCUGGAAUGUUACUGACACUGAGGCACGAAAGUUGGGGGAGCAAACAGGAUUAGAUACCCUGGUAGUCCCAACCGUAAACGGUGUGCACUUGGUGUGGGGGGAAUUGACCCCCCCCGUGCCGGAGCUAACGCGUUAGGUGCACCCCUGGGGAGUACGGCCGCAAGGCUAAAACUCAAAGAAAUUGACGGGGGCCCGCACAAGCGGAGGAGCAUGUGGCUUAAUUCGAUGCAACGCGAAGAACCUUACCAGGGCUUGACAUCUACCUGCAUGCCCCGUGAAAGCGGGGAGGCCUUCGAGGGUGGUAGACAGGUGCUGCAUGGCUGUCGUCAGUUCGUGCCGUGAGGUGUUGGGUUAAGUCCCGCAACGAACGCAACCCCUGUGUUUAGUUGCCACUCUCUUCGGAGAAGCACUCUAAACAGACUGCCUGUACAAGCAGGAGGAAGGUGGGGACGACGUCAAGUCAGUAUGGCCCUUACGCCCUGGGCUGCACACGUGCUACAAUGGUCGGUACAGAGGGAUGCAAGACCGCGAGGUGGAGCUAAUCCUGAAAGCCGGUCCCAGUUCGGAUUGGAGUCUGCAACUCGACUCCAUGAAGUUGGAUUCGCUAGUAACGGCGUAUCAGCUACGACGCCGUGAAUACGUUCCCGGGCCUUGUACACACCGCCCGUCACAUCAUGAAAGCCGUCUGCACCCGAAGUCGCUGAGCCAACCAUUUAUUUGGAGGCAGGUGCC